Molecule: ribosomal RNA, 1186 nt
Filed under: Empoascanara hongkongica
Lineage: Eukaryota; Metazoa; Arthropoda; Insecta; Hemiptera; Cicadellidae
Description: 16S ribosomal RNA
Source: RNAcentral
UUAGUUAAAAAAUAUAUUUUUAUAAUUUUUUUUUCGUAUUUAGUAUAAAUAAUUUUCUUGUUAAUAUUUCUGUAAAGGCUUUUAUAUUAAAGUUUUAUCUAUGUAUUGUACCUUUUGUAUCAGGGUUAAUUUACUAUAUAAAUUAUUUUUAUUUCCCGAAAUUAAAGUAUUUAAUAUAAUUUAAUUUUAUCUGUGGCAAAAUAUUUUUGUAAAUUUUAUUAAUAAUUAAAAGUUAAUUGACUUUUUUUAUAUCUGGUUACUUUAGAUUAAAUUUAAUUUUAAAUUAUUUAUUUUUGUUAUUUUUUAUUUUUAAUUUUAUUUUAUUAGGGAUAAUCUUAAUAUGUUUAUAUAAUAAUAAAAUAUUUAUUUGAAUUAAUUUUUAAAUUUUAUAUUAAGUUUUUAAUUAAUUACUUUAAAUUUUUCAUAUUUUUUUAAAUUUAUUUUUUUAUAAAGUAUAUUUAAUUAUUUAUAAAUAUUUUUUACAAUGAUUAAAUUAGUAAAGUAUUAAAUUAUAAUAAUUGAACUCGACAAAUAUUUUUUCCAACUGUUUAACAAAAACAUUUCCUUUAGAUUUAAAUUUAAAGGUAAUUUCUGCCCUAUGAUUAAUUAAAUGGCUGCAGUAUUCUGACUGUACAAAGGUAGCAUAAUAAUUAGCCUUUUAAUUGAAGGCUUGUAUGAAGGAAUUAAUGAGAUAUAAAUUAUAAUGAUUUAUAAUUCUAAAAUUUGAUUUUUUAGUAAAAAAGCUGAAGUAUUAAUAUGGGACGAAAAGACCCUAGAGAACUUUUAUUAGAUUAUUAAUUAUUAUUUUAUUAUAAUAAGUUUUAAUAAUUUAUUUUUUAUUGGGGUGAUAAAUAAAUUUUAAACUUUAUUUUUUUAAAUAUCAAUAAGAUAAUAAUAAUGAUUCAAUAGGUUGGUUUAAGUUUAAGUUACCUUAGGGAUAACAGCGUAAUUUGAAUGGAGAGUUCUUAUUUAUAUUCAAGUUUGCGACCUCGAUGUUGAAUUAAGAUAAAUUUUUGGAGCAGCAUCUUUUUAAUUAAGUCUGUUCGACUUUUAAUUUCUUACAUGAUUUGAGUUCAAACCGGUGUAAGCCAGGUUGGUUUCUAUCUUUAUUUUAAGUGUUUAUUUUAGUACGAAAGGACCAAAUAUACUAUUUCUAGUUAAUAAUAAAAAUUAAUAAAUUUAAUUA